AACGAACGCUGGCGGCAGGCCUAACACAUGCAAGUCGAGCGAGAACUUCGGUUCUAGCGGCGGACGGGUUAGUAACGCGUGGGAAUAUGCCCUUCACUACGGAAUAGUCCCGGGAAACUGGGUUUAAUACCGUAUACGCCCUUCGGGGGAAAGAUUUAUCGGUGAAGGAUUAGCCCGCGUUGGAUUAGGUAGUUGGUGGGGUAAUGGCCUACCAAGCCGACGAUCCAUAGCUGGUUUGAGAGGAUGAUCAGCAACACUGGGACUGAGACACGGCCCAGACUCCUACGGGAGGCAGCAGCAAGGAAUCUUCCGCAAUGGGCGAAAGCCUGACGGAGCAACGCCGCGUGUGGGAUGACGCCUUUCGGGGUGUAAACCACUUUUCUCAGGGAAGAAGCACUGACGGUACCUGAGGAAGAAGGACCGGCUAACUACGUGCCAGCCGCCGCAGUAACAC
This 454-nucleotide ribosomal RNA is filed under the name uncultured bacterium. Its description in RNAcentral is "bacterial SSU rRNA". It matches the Rfam family "Bacterial small subunit ribosomal RNA", at positions 29 to 526 of the family's 1533-position model. The record is from RNAcentral.